This 745-nucleotide ribosomal RNA is filed under the name uncultured archaeon. RNAcentral's name for it is "bacterial SSU rRNA". It matches the Rfam family "Archaeal small subunit ribosomal RNA", at positions 70 to 814 of the family's 1478-position model. The record is from RNAcentral.
UCAUACUCGUGGCGCAUAGCUCAGCAACACGUGGCCAAACUACCCUUCGGAGCUCCAUACCCUCGGGAAACUGAGGCUAAUAGAGCAUCCCACAGUUCACCUGGAACGAGAACCGUGCCAAACGCUUCGGCGCCGAAGGACGUGGCUGCGGCCGAUUAGGUAGACGGUGGGGUAACGGCCCACCGUGCCAAUAAUCGGUACGGGUGGUGAGAGCCAGAACCCGGAGACGGAAUCUGAGACAAGAUUCCGGGCCCUACGGGGCGCAGCAGGCGCGAAACCUUUACACUGCACGCCAGUGCGAUAGGGGGAUCCCAAGUGCACAGGCAUAGUGCCUGUGCUUUUCGACACCCUAAGAUGGUGUCAGAAUAAGGGCUGGGCAAGACCGGUGCCAGCCGCCGCGGUAAUACCGGCAGCCCGAGUGAUGGCCGAUCUUAUUGGGCCUAAAGCGUCCGUAGCUGGCCGCGCAAGUCCAUCGGAAAAUCCACCCGCUCAACGGGUGGGCGACCGGUGGAAACUGCGUGGCUUGGGACCGGAAGGCGCGACGGGUACGUCCGGGGUAGGAGUGAAAUCCUGUAAUCCCGAACGGACCGCCGAUGGCGAAAGCACGUCGCGAAAACGGAUCCGACAGUGAGGGACGAAAGCCAGGGUCUCGAACCGGAUUAGAUACCCGGGUAGUCCUGGCCGUAAACAAUGUCUGCUAGGUGUGGCUCCCACUACGAGUGGGUGCUGUGCCGCAGGGAAGCCG